AGUGAACGCUGGCGGUAGGCCUAACACAUGCAAGUCGAACGGCAGCACAGUAAGAGCUUGCUCUUACGGGUGGCGAGUGGCGGACGGGUGAGGAAUACAUCGGAAUCUACUUUUUCGUGGGGGAUAACGUAGGGAAACUUACGCUAAUACCGCAUACGACCUACGCGUGAAAGCAGGGGAUCUUCGGACCUUGCGCGAUUGAAUGAGCCGAUGUCGGAUUAGCUAGUUGGCGGGGUAAAGGCCCACCAAGGCGACGAUCCGUAGCUGGUCUGAGAGGAUGAUCAGCCACACUGGAACUGAGACACGGUCCAGACUCCUACGGGAGGCAGCAGUGGGGAAUAUUGGACAAUGGGCGCAAGCCUGAUCCAGCCAUACCGCGUGGGUGAAGAAGGCCUUCGGGUUGUAAAGCCCUUUUGUUGGGAAAGAAAAGCAGCAGGUUAAUACCCCGCUGUUCUGACGGUACCCAAAGAAUAAGCACCGGCUAACUUCGUG
Molecule: ribosomal RNA, 492 nt
Filed under: uncultured bacterium
Lineage: Bacteria
Description: partial 16S ribosomal RNA
Rfam family: Bacterial small subunit ribosomal RNA
Source: RNAcentral